Long non-coding RNA from Aquila chrysaetos chrysaetos, 313 nucleotides. RefSeq lists it as uncharacterized. The record is from RefSeq and is a predicted model, not a curated record. The transcript has 3 exons. NCBI's taxonomy places the organism in Eukaryota, Metazoa, Chordata, Aves, Accipitriformes, Accipitridae.
CACACAGACCAAUGCUGUCACAGUAGAGACGGACACGACAAACAUCAGAUUGUGCCAAAAUGGCUACUUUAUUGUUCUAACAAGCUUUUUUAUAUCUUUCUUCAGAGUAUGUGUUCAUAUAUGAUUGGUUUAGUUAGUAACUAACAAUUCAUGAUUGGGUAACAAUUUUAGCUGCAUAUUCGUUAAGACGGUUCUUCUUAUCAUCUUCUUUCCCAGGACUUUCCAGACUCUCAAGGAUACACCACAAGCUGCUCAAGGUCACGCUGCUCACGCACUGUCAGGCAGUCGGCAGAUUUGCUACAUUCCCCGACAA